CGCUUGUUAGUUUGAUCCUUGCUCAGAUUGAACGGUGGCGGCAGGCCUAACACAUGCAAGUCGAGCGGAUGACAGGAGCUUGCUCCUGAAUUCAGCGGCGGACGGGUGAGUAAUGCGUAGGAAUCUGCCUGGUAGUGGGGGACAACGUUUCGAAAGGAACGCUAAUACCGCAUACGUCCUACGGGAGAAAGAAGGGGACCUUCGGGCCUUGCGCUAUCAGAUGGGCCUAGGUCGGAUUAGCUAGUUGGUGAGGUAAUGGCUCACCAAGGCGACGAUCCGUAACUGGUCUGAGAGGAUGAUCAGUCACACUGGAACUGAGACACGGUCCAGACUCAUACGGGAGGCAGCAGUGGGCAAUAUUGGACAAUGGGCGAAAGCCUGAUCCAGCCAUGCCGCGUGUGUGAAGAAGGUCUUCGGAUUGUAAAGCACUUUAAGUUGGGAGCAAGGGCAUUAACCUAAUACGUUAGUGUUUUGACGUUACCGACAGAAUAAGCACCGGCUAACUCUGUGCCAGCAGCAGCGGUAAUACAGAGGGUGCAAGCUUUAAUCGGAAUUACUGGGCGUAAAGCGCGCGUAGGUGGUUUGUUAAGUUGAAUGUGAAAUCCCCGGGCUCUACCUGGGAACUGCAUUCAAAACUGACAAGCUAGAGUAUGGUAGUGGGUGGUGGAAUUUCCUGUGUAGCGGUGAUGCGUAGAUAU
This 698-nucleotide ribosomal RNA is filed under the name Pseudomonas jessenii. Its description in RNAcentral is "bacterial SSU rRNA". It matches the Rfam family "Bacterial small subunit ribosomal RNA", at positions 1 to 697 of the family's 1533-position model. The record is from RNAcentral. Lineage: Bacteria; Pseudomonadati; Pseudomonadota; Gammaproteobacteria; Pseudomonadales; Pseudomonadaceae.